GAUGAACGCUGGCGGCGUGCUUAACACAUGCAAGUCGAACGAUGAAGCCCAGCUUGCUGGGUGGAUUAGUGGCGAACGGGUGAGUAACACGUGAGUAACCUGCCCUUAACUCUGGGAUAAGCCUGGGAAACUGGGUCUAAUACCGGAUAGGAGCGUCCACCGCAUGGUGGGUGUUGGAAAGAUUUAUCGGUUUUGGAUGGACUCGCGGCCUAUCAGCUUGUUGGUGAGGUAAUGGCUCACCAAGGCGACGACGGGUAGCCGGCCUGAGAGGGUGACCGGCCACACUGGGACUGAGACACGGCCCAGACUCCUACGGGAGGCAGCAGUGGGGAAUAUUGCACAAUGGGCGAAAGCCUGAUGCAGCGACGCCGCGUGAGGAAUGACGGCCUUCGGGUUGUAAACCUCUUUCAGUAGGGAAGAAGCGAAAGUGACGGUACCUGCAGAAGAAGCACCGGCUAACUACGUG
This 466-nucleotide ribosomal RNA is filed under the name uncultured bacterium. RNAcentral's name for it is "partial 16S ribosomal RNA". It matches the Rfam family "Bacterial small subunit ribosomal RNA", at positions 28 to 507 of the family's 1533-position model. The record is from RNAcentral.